RNAcentral lists this ribosomal RNA (253 nucleotides) under uncultured bacterium. RNAcentral's name for it is "partial 16S ribosomal RNA". It matches the Rfam family "Bacterial small subunit ribosomal RNA", at positions 524 to 776 of the family's 1533-position model. The record is from RNAcentral.
UACGGAGGGAGCUAGCGUUGUUCGGAAUUACUGGGCGUAAAGCGCACGUAGGCGGCUUUGUAAGUUAGAGGUGAAAGCCCGGGGCUCAACCCCGGAAUUGCCUUUAAGACUGCAUCGCUUGAAUCCGGGAGAGGUGAGUGGAAUUCCGAGUGUAGAGGUGAAAUUCGUAGAUAUUCGGAAGAACACCAGUGGCGAAGGCGACUCACUGGCCCGUUACUGACGCUGAGGCGCGAAAGCGUGGGGAGCAAACAGG